RNAcentral lists this ribosomal RNA (423 nucleotides) under Verrucomicrobiota bacterium. Its description in RNAcentral is "Verrucomicrobia bacterium partial 16S ribosomal RNA". It matches the Rfam family "Bacterial small subunit ribosomal RNA", at positions 355 to 776 of the family's 1533-position model. The record is from RNAcentral. Lineage: Bacteria; Pseudomonadati; Verrucomicrobiota.
UGAGGAAUAUUGGUCAAUGGACGCAAGUCUGAACCAGCCAAGUAGCGUGCAGGAUGACGGCCCUAUGGGUUGUAAACUGCUUUUAUAUGGGGAUAAAGUGGGGAACGUGUUCCCUUUUGCAGGUACCAUAUGAAUAAGGACCGGCUAAUUCCGUGCCAGCAGCCGCGGUAAUACGGAAGGUUCGGGCGUUAUCCGGAAUCAUUGGGCGUAAAGGGUACGUAGGCGGAUAAGCAAGUUAGAAGUGAAAUCCUAUAGCUCAACUAUAGUAAGCUUUUAAAACUGCUCAUCUUGAGGUAUGGAAGGGAAAGUGGAAUUCCUAGUGUAGCGGUGAAAUGCGCAGAUAUUAGGAGGAAUACCGGUGGCGAAGGCGACUUUCUGGCCAUAUACUGACGCUGAGGUACGAAAGCGUGGGUAGCAAACAGG